GGCCGUCACAGGGUUCGAACCCUGGACUACCGGUUCGGUGGUCUAGUAGCUUAGCCACUAGUCCAUCCCGAC
This is a non-coding RNA of Oesophagostomum dentatum (nodular worm), 72 nucleotides long. NCBI's taxonomy places the organism in Eukaryota, Metazoa, Nematoda, Chromadorea, Rhabditida, Strongylidae. The record is from the annotation of a GenBank genome assembly.